RNAcentral lists this ribosomal RNA (1713 nucleotides) under Triticum aestivum (bread wheat). RNAcentral describes it as "partial small subunit ribosomal RNA". The record is from RNAcentral. Lineage: Eukaryota; Viridiplantae; Streptophyta; Magnoliopsida; Poales; Poaceae.
AUGAGCCUCAUAAACUUCAUGGUAUAUUGUAAUACACGAAUGUUCUUCCUCAAUACCAUUGAUGCAUCCGGCCAGACUCAGAAUUCAGACUUUAUCUAUAGAGAGAUUGAGAAGGUUGUAGAAGAGAUAGGCCAUGAACAUAUUGUUCAAAUAGUAACCGAUAAUGGGUCCAACUAUAAGAAAGCUUGCAAAACCCUUAUAGAAGAACCAAAAUACUCUCAUAUUGUUUGGCAACCGUGUGCUGCCCACACCGUCAAUCUUAUGUUAAAAGAUAUAGCCAAAUUUCCCGAGGUUGAUGUGAUAGUCAAGAGUGCCAAGACAAUCUGUAGGUUCUUCCAUAAGCACAAUAACCUACAUGAUAACAUGAAGAAGAACAUAGGUGGUGAACUAAUUAGACCAAAUGUCACCCGUUUUGGGACUGUCUUCAUGUUCCUUGAGAGUUACCAUUUGAAGAAAGAUAAAUUUAGGGAGUGGAUGGUUUCAACUGAUUGGAAGGAGUGUCAGUGGAGGUAUGAGCCUGGAUAUGUGUUUGCUGAAGAAUGUUUGUCCAGUAAUGUUUGGUGGAACACACUAGAGUGGGUAUUGGGUUCGUUGAGGCCACUUUAUAAGGCCAUGAGGUAUGCUGAUACACAGAAACAAUGCACUCUUUCCGGAUUCAAGAAAAGUAUGAUGCUCGCUAUACAACAGAUGGAAGCACAUCUAGGCCCUACAUCAAGGUUGUACCUUAGUUUCAUGCGCAAGGUGGGCAAGAGGAUAGAGGCAAUGGAAGAAGAUACAUUUAUGGUUGCAGCUGUCGUCCUUGAUCCAUAUACACAUUACAAGCUCAACCUUUGCAACCAUACAGAUUAUGCUACCUCACUAACAGAUGCGAUAGCGAAGAUAUUAGAUCCAAAGAGUGCUCUUUCAGCCAUUGAUGAAGUAAGUAAGUUUAGGGAGUGCCAAGGGAGGUUUGGGACCAGAUUAGCAGAAGAAGCUGCGGCGAGAAUGGAGCCAACAUCCCAAUGGUGGUUUCAAUUUGGAGGGGAUGUUCCUGCAUUGCAGAAGUGUGCAAUGAGAAUUUGCUCACAAUGUGUCUCAUCGAGUGGGUGUGAGAGGAAUUGGAGCGCCUUUGCUUUGGUGCACACAAAGCAAAGAAAUCGUCUUUUAUAUGACAAGCUCCACAAGCUAGUUUCUGUCCGCUACAACCUAAAGAUACGUGCUGAAGAAGAUCAAGAGAAAGAUAUAGAUAAUGAAGUUGAUCCAAGUGCACUGCUGCUGGACACAACAAUGUUUGAUGAAGCAAAUCCAAUAAUGGAGUGGCUGAAUGAGGAUGAAGAGGAUCCAAUUGUGGAUGGAGCUGAUGCAGCCAGUGCUGUUUUUGAGAAAAUAAGGCGUCUCAACUCAAGCAGGAAGGAUUCUUAUGUUGGUACAAAAGGUAAUAAGAAGAAAAGAAAGAGGAAUCAUGAUGAGGAGAAUGAGUAUGUCGAAACUGAGAGUGAGGAUGACGAUGAAGAGAAUGAGUAUGUUGAUAAUGAGAGUGAGGAUGAUGAUGGGGUGAGUGAGGAUGAUGAGGAUGAUCAACAAGAUCAGCAAGAGACACAAAUGCAAGUGGAAGAAGAGACACACGUACAAGCUGAAAAGGAGACAGCAGCAAGUGUUGGCAAUUUGGAGGCUCGUAGAUCUGGACGACUAGUUAGGAAGAAGACCAAGGAAGUGAACAGCCUCUACUCGUAG